GUAGGUGGCAAGCGUUGUCCGGAAUUAUUGGGCGUAAAGCGCGCGCAGGCGGUCCUUUAAGUCUGAUGUGAAAGCCCACGGCUCAACCGUGGAGGGUCAUUGGAAACUGGGGGACUUGAGUACAGAAGAGGAAAGCGGAAUUCCAAGUGUAGCGGUGGAAUGCGUAGAGAUUUGGAGGAACACCAGUGGCGAAGGCGGCUUUCUGGUCUGUAACUGACGCUGAGGCGCGAAAGCGUGGGGAGCAAACAGGAUUAGAUACCCUGGUAGUCCACGCCGUAAACGAUGAGUGCUAAGUGUUAGGGGGUUUCCCGCCCCCCUUAGUGCUGCAGCUAACGCAUUAAGCACUCCGCCUGGGGAGUACGGCCGCAAGGCUG
Molecule: ribosomal RNA, 374 nt
Filed under: uncultured organism
Description: partial 16S ribosomal RNA
Rfam family: Bacterial small subunit ribosomal RNA
Source: RNAcentral